RNAcentral lists this ribosomal RNA (819 nucleotides) under uncultured eukaryote. RNAcentral's name for it is "SSU rRNA". It matches the Rfam family "Eukaryotic small subunit ribosomal RNA", at positions 629 to 1426 of the family's 1831-position model. The record is from RNAcentral.
CGGUGUUUAACUGGCGUGAUGUGGGACGUCCUACCGGUGGGCUUAGCCUCGCGAGGGGCGGCCCAACUAAUAUCCCGUCGCGGUGCUCUUUACUGAGUGUCGAGUCGGGCCGGUACGUUUACUUUGAACAAAUUAGAGUGCUUAAAGCAGGCUAUCCUCGCCUGAAUACUGCGUGCAUGGAAUAAUGGAAUAGGACCUCGGUUCUAUUUUGUUGGUUUUCGGAACCCCGAGGUAAUGAUUAAUAGGGACAGAUGGGGGCAUUCGUAUUGCGACGUUAGAGGUGAAAUUCUUGGAUCGUCGCAAGACGGACAGAAGCGAAAGCAUUUGCCAAAAAUGUUUUCAUUAAUCAAGAACGAAAGUUAGAGGUUCGAAGGCGAUCAGAUACCGCCCUAGUUCUAACCAUAAACGAUGCCAGCUAGCGAUCCGCCGAAGUUCCUCCGAUGACUCGGCGGGCAGCUUCCGGGAAACCAAAGCUUUUGGGUUCCGGGGGAAGUAUGGUUGCAAAGCUGAAACUUAAAGGAAUUGACGGAAGGGCACCACCAGGAGUGGAGCCUGCGGCUUAAUUUGACUCAACACGGGAAACCUCACCAGGCCCAGACACCGGAAGGAUUGACAGAUUGAUAGCUCUUUCUUGAUUCGGUGGGUGGUGGUGCAUGGCCGUUCUUAGUUGGUGGAGCGAUUUGUCUGGUUAAUUCCAAUAACGAACGAGACUCUAGCCUGCUAAAUAGGCGUACCUUAUGGUAUCGCGAAGGCCCCCGGCUUCGGCCGGUGGGUUUUUACUACCAACGUACAAACAAAUCUUCUUAGAGGGACAGGCGG